RNAcentral lists this ribosomal RNA (388 nucleotides) under Syndiniales sp. RNAcentral describes it as "partial small subunit ribosomal RNA". It matches the Rfam family "Eukaryotic small subunit ribosomal RNA", at positions 582 to 975 of the family's 1831-position model. Lineage: Eukaryota; Dinophyceae; Syndiniales. The record is from RNAcentral.
AUUCCAGCUCCAAUAGCGUAUAUUAAAGUUGUUGCGGUAAAAAAGCUCGUAGUUGGAUUUCUGUGGAGAACAACUGGUCCAUGCCAUGUAUGCGUAUCUAGCUUGGUCUCUGCAUCCUUUCGAAAUGCUGUUCUGCGCUUGAUUGCGUGGUCAGUGGUUCGGAACUUUUACUUUGAGGAAAUUAGAGUGUUCACGGCAGGCUAUCGCCCGAAUACGUUAGCAUGGAAUAAUAAUAUAGGACUUCGGUUCUAUUUUGUUGGUUUCUAGAGCUGAAGUAAUGAUUAAUAGGGACAAUUGGGGGCAUUCGUAUCAACACGUCAGAGGUGGAAUUCUUGGAUUGUGUUGCGACGAACUACUGCGAAAGCAUUUGCCAAGGAUGUUUUCAUCA